GUCUUAGGGGAGUAGCCGACCUCCGGUGACGGAGGGGUGUGCGUCAACAUGCUUGGCCGGCAGGCCAUGGCGCGCACGGCCCGCAGGUCCGGCAAGACCUAUGGCAUAGCACCUUGCUUGGGGGGCCGGGCGGGCGUGCAUGCCAUUGGUCUGUC
RNAcentral lists this small RNA (155 nucleotides) under marine eukaryotic metagenome. RNAcentral's name for it is "yybP-ykoY manganese riboswitch". It matches the Rfam family "Manganese Mn2+ riboswitch aptamer (yybP-ykoY)", at positions 11 to 161 of the family's 177-position model. Rfam says of the family: This RNA was originally discovered in E. coli during a large scale screen and was named SraF. The family was later found to exist upstream of related families of protein genes in many bacteria, including the the yybP and ykoK genes in B. subtilis. The specific functions of these proteins are unknown, but this structured RNA element may be involved in their genetic regulation as a riboswitch. The record is from RNAcentral.